Molecule: long non-coding RNA, 3485 nt
Filed under: Pan troglodytes (chimpanzee)
Lineage: Eukaryota; Metazoa; Chordata; Mammalia; Primates; Hominidae
Description: long non-coding RNA NONPTRT000135
Source: RNAcentral
UGUCGUGUCUUUUUGCAGAAUCCAGACUCCAAAAUGAUGCAAAUCAACCUGACUGGAUUUUUGAAUGGAAAAAAUGCUCGAGAAUUUAUGGGAGAACUGUGGCCCCUGCUGCUAAGUGCACAAGAAAACAUCGCGGGAAUCCCUUCUGCUUUCCUAGAACUGAAGAAAGAAGAAAUAAAACAAAGACAGAUUGAACAAGAAAAACUGGCAUCUAUGAAAAAGCAAGAUGAAGACAAAGAUAAAAGAGAUAAGGAAGAAAAAGAAAGCAGCAGAGAAAAAAGGGAGCGGUCUCGUAGCCCAAGAAGACGCAAAUCCAGAUCUCCUUCCCCUAGAAGACGAUCUUCCCCUGUCAGGAGAGAGAGAAAGCGCAGUCAUUCUCGAUCUCCCCGUCACAGAACCAAGAGCCGGAGUCCUUCCCCUGCUCCAGAAAAGAAGGAAAAAACUCCAGAGCUCCCAGAACCUUCAGUGAAAGUAAAAGAACCUUCAGUACAAGAGGCUACUUCUACUAGUGACAUUCUGAAAGUUCCCAAACCUGAACCUAUACCAGAGCCUAAAGAACCUUCUCCGGAAAAAAAUUCCAAAAAAGAAAAGGAGAAGGAGAAGACCCGACCACGAUCUCGGUCACGCUCCAAAUCAAGAUCCCGGACGCGGUCCCGCUCUCCUUCUCACACUCGACCUAGACGGCGCCAUAGAUCCCGAUCAAGAUCGUAUUCACCUAGAAGGCGGCCAAGCCCAAGAAGGCGGCCAUCUCCUCGAAGAAGAACUCCGCCAAGAAGAAUGCCUCCUCCACCAAGGCACAGAAGGAGUAGAUCUCCAGUAAGACGAAGAAGACGUUCGUCAGCAUCCUUGUCUGGGAGUAGCUCAUCAUCCUCUUCAUCUCGUUCACGGUCACCACCAAAGAAGCCUCCCAAGAGGACAUCCAGCCCCCCUCGGAAAACUCGUAGGUUAUCUCCUUCAGCAAGUCCUCCAAGGCGAAGGCACAGGCCAUCACCUCCUGCAACUCCACCACCCAAAACUCGGCAUUCCCCUACACCCCAGCAGUCAAACCGUACAAGAAAAAGUCGUGUUUCUGUGUCUCCAGGGAGAACUUCAGGUAAAGUGACAAAACAUAAAGGUACUGAGAAAAGAGAAUCCCCUUCACCAGCACCGAAGCCUAGAAAAGUAGAGUUAUCUGAAUCGGAAGAUAAAGGUGGCAAAAUGGCUGCAGCAGAUUCUGUGCAGCAGAGACGCCAAUACAGACGACAAAACCAGCAGUCUUCAUCUGACUCUGGCUCCUCCUCCUCCUCAGAAGAUGAACGACCCAAGAGAUCCCAUGUGAAGAAUGGUGAGGUUGGCAGGCGGCGGAGACAUUCCCCUUCCCGGAGUGCUUCUCCAUCACCACGAAAGCGCCAAAAAGAGACUUCCCCUCGGAUGCAGAUGGGAAAGCGAUGGCAAUCGCCAGUGACUAAAAGUGGUAGACGGAGGAGAAGUCCAUCCCCACCACCCACCAGAAGGCGACGGUCUCCUUCUCCCGCCCCUCCUCCUCGACGGCGCAGGACUCCCACACCACCACCACGACGAAGGACUCCUUCUCCUCCCCCACGUCGGCGCUCACCUUCUCCUAGAAGAUACUCUCCUCCAAUACAGAGGAGAUACUCUCCUUCUCCACCUCCAAAGAGAAGAACGGCUUCACCUCCUCCCCCUCCUAAACGAAGAGCAUCACCAUCUCCACCACCAAAGCGGCGGGUCUCCCAUUCUCCACCUCCCAAACAAAGAAGCUCCCCAGUCACCAAGAGACGUUCACCUUCAUUAUCAUCCAAGCAUAGGAAAGGGUCUUCCCCAAGCCGCUCUACCAGGGAGGCCCGAUCACCACAACCAAACAAACGGCAUUCGCCCUCACCACGGCCUCGAGCUCCUCAGACCUCCUCAAGUCCUCCACCCGUUCGAAGAGGAGCGUCGUCAUCACCCCAAAGAAGGCAGUCCCCGUCUCCAAGUACUAGGCCCAUUAGGAGAGUCUCCAGGACUCCGGAACCUAAAAAGAUAAAAAAGGCUGCUUCCCCAAGCCCACAGUCUGUAAGGAGGGUCUCAUCCUCCCGAUCUGUCUCCGGGUCUCCUGAGCCAGCAGCUAAAAAGCCCCCAGCACCUCCAUCCCCCGUCCAGUCUCAGUCACCGUCUACAAACUGGUCACCAGCUGUACCGGUCAAAAAGGCCAAAAGCCCAACACCGAGCCCAUCACCGCCAAGAAAUUCAGAUCAGGAGGGAGGUGGAAAGAAAAAGAAGAAAAAGAAGGACAAGAAACACAAAAAGGAUAAGAAGCACAAGAAGCACAAAAAACACAAGAAGGAAAAGGCUGUGGCUGCAGCUGCUGCAGCUGCUGUGACCCCUGCAGCCAUUGCAGCUGCCACAACCACAUUAGCACAGGAAGAGCCAGUGGCAGCGCCAGAGCCGAAGAAGGAGACUGAAAGUGAAGCUGAAGAUAACCUUGAUGAUUUAGAAAAGCACCUGCGUGAAAAGGCCCUGAGAUCAAUGAGGAAGGCCCAAGUGUCCCCACAGUCUUAGGGGGAAAUGUUUGUUAUGAUGUAAAUUUUAUUUGGUUUGUACGCAGUUCAAUUUCAAAAUUGCUAAAAUGUGUUUGAGCUUUAGACUAUAACAUUUGUUGUAAUAAUUGCUAGGUUGAAGUUCAACAUGUAAAAAAAGGGGGCAUGGAUUUACAUUGCAAAAGGUGUCCACAGUGUAUUAGUGACAUUCUUUCAUUGACAGCUGACAUAAUUCAUUGAGUGAAAUAUUUUAAGCCAAAAAAAAUUCCCUUUUUAAAAAAGGGGGUUUAAAUACUGUUGGCAUUUUUAUGGUUCCUUUAAAUGCCCUGGCUAUUCCCAGAGGGGUUUUUUGUUUGUUUUUUUGGUUUUGAUUUUGUUUUUGUUUUUCUUUCUUCUUAUUUUUUUCAUUUGAGUCUUAGCUCCCAUUUAAGUUAUGCUUCUGACCUUGUAUGGUCUGUAAGCUUGCCCAGAAAUAAGACCACUGUUUUGAACUACCACAAAAGUAUAAAUGAAUAUUUUAAUGCCACAAUCUUUCCUGUUGCCUGUGGAGUCUCUGCUGAAAUGAAUCAGGAUUCGAGCUCUAGGAUGAGACAGAAAAUGAAAGCAUGUUGUUUGCCAGGACACUGUGGGUUUAUAUUGAUGUGUAACAAGUUGAUUUGGAACACUGGACUCUCAUUCUGUUCUUCUGGUUUUGUUUUUUUUGUUUUGUUUUUUUCUUUUGUAAAGGCAAUGAGCUAGUCCCAGAAAGGAUCCUUCAGUUACAUACAAUUUGUUUAAUGAAAUGUCAUGGCUCUGUUCAUAUUUUUGUCUUGUUCUUCCAAUUGGUACAUACAACUUUCAGAGCCUCUUGUAUUUGGAAGGCUGGAAGGGCGCAGACUUUGGAAUAGUGUCUUGGUUUCACUGUUUUUGUUUUGAUUUUUUUUUUUGAUUUUUUUUAAACUAAAGCUAUAUAAAGCUUGUGGAUUAAAC